RNAcentral lists this ribosomal RNA (255 nucleotides) under uncultured bacterium. RNAcentral describes it as "partial 16S ribosomal RNA". It matches the Rfam family "Bacterial small subunit ribosomal RNA", at positions 524 to 776 of the family's 1533-position model. The record is from RNAcentral.
UACGAAGGGGGGCGAGCGUUGUUCGGAUUUACUGGGCGUAAAGGGCGCGCAGGCGGCUCAUUUUGUCAGGCGUGAAAGCCCCGGGCUUAACCUGGGAACUGCGUUUGAUACGGAUGGGCUAGAGUUCGGGAGAGGAGCGUGGAAUUCCCAGUGUAGAGGUGAAAUUCGUAGAUAUUGGGAAGAACACCGGUGGCGAAGGCGGCUCACUGGCUCAUUUCUGACGCUCAGGCGCGACAGCGUGGGGAUCGAAACAGG